CCGAGUUUACAACUCCCAAAACCCCUGUGAACAUACCUGUUUUGUUGCUUCGGCGGUGUCCAGCGGCCCCUCGCGGGACGUGGCCCGCCAGAGGACCCAACCAAACCCUUGAUUUUUAUCCCGGUAUUUUAUCUGAGUACUUCAUGAAAAUGAAAUCA
RNAcentral lists this unclassified non-coding RNA (158 nucleotides) under soil metagenome. Its description in RNAcentral is "partial internal transcribed spacer 1". The record is from RNAcentral.